GACAGAGGGUGCAAACGUUGUUCGGAAUUACUGGGCGUAAAGCGAGUGUAGGCGGUUUCCUAAGUCAGGUGUGAAAGCCCCGGGCUCAACCCGGGAAGUGCACUUGAAACUGGGAGGCUAGAGUAUCGGAGAGGUUGGUGGAAUUCGUCGGUGUAGAGGUGAAAUUCGUAGAUAAUCGAGAGGAACACCGGUGGCGAAGGCGGCAUCCUGGACCGACACUGACGCUGAGGAGCGAAAGCCAGGGGAGCAAACGGG
RNAcentral lists this ribosomal RNA (255 nucleotides) under uncultured bacterium. RNAcentral's name for it is "partial 16S ribosomal RNA". It matches the Rfam family "Bacterial small subunit ribosomal RNA", at positions 524 to 776 of the family's 1533-position model. The record is from RNAcentral.